Long non-coding RNA from Cyprinus carpio carpio, 797 nucleotides. The record is from Ensembl. Lineage: Eukaryota; Metazoa; Chordata; Actinopteri; Cypriniformes; Cyprinidae.
ACGUUUGUUUUUAAAAGGAAUGCGCCCUCCGCUCUACCUAAAUGUGUCUAUAAGUUCACACGAAUCACUCGUGAUCCAGCUUCACCUACAGAAGAAAACAACUUCCUCCACAGCAACCAGGUUGUUUCAGAAGUGGACAUUCACCCGAGACUGCUUUGCUCUCAGUUGUUGAAGCCCUAAGACUGGCAAGAGCAGAUUUCAAAUCUUCAAUACUUAUCUUGCUGGAUCUGUCCGCUGCUUUUGACAUGGUUAACCACCAGAUCCUCCGGUCAACCCUAUUGGCAAAGGGCAUCUCAGGAACCGCACUCCAGUGGUUUGAGUCUGAUCAGAUAGGUCCUUCAGUGUGUCUUGGAGAGGUGAGGUGUCCAAGUCGCAACAUCUACUGUAACUACUGGGGUGCCUCAGGGCUCAGUUCUUGGACCAUUUCUCUUCUCUGUCCACAUGGCAUCACUAGGUUCUGUCAUUUAGAAAAAUGGCUUUUCAUAUCACUGCUAUGCUGAUGACACUCAAGUCUACCUCUAAUCCCAUGCUGAUGAUCAUACGAAAGCUGCUCAAAUCUCAGCUUCUCUAACAGACAUUUCUUGCUGAAUGAAAGACCAUCACCUUCAACUCAACCUUGCCAAGACAGAUCUGCUUGUGGUUCCACCAAACCCAUCAUUUCAUCACAAGUUCACUAUCCAUUUAGGCACAUCAACCAUAACUCCUUCAAAAACAGCCAGAAACCUUAGAGUUAUGAUUGAUGAUCAGCUGACUUUCUCAGACCACAGACUUGCCCCUUGUAGACUUGCACUCUAUUC